RNAcentral lists this long non-coding RNA (291 nucleotides) under Gossypium barbadense (sea-island cotton). Its description in RNAcentral is "long non-coding RNA (GBAR_LNC002454)". The record is from RNAcentral. Lineage: Eukaryota; Viridiplantae; Streptophyta; Magnoliopsida; Malvales; Malvaceae.
UCUAAAUCAGAUAGGGGAAAGGAGAAAGCAGUCGAGUAGAUUAUCCGCAACUGUUCAAAAUAUCCGAGGUAAGUUUUCAGUAGUCUCCUUUAGUAUAUAAUUGACAAUGUCUUUAUAAGAGUAUAUUAGGUGAAUUGCGAUCUUUGGUUUACACUUGAAUAAAGUUGAAUAAUAGAUAAUGCAUGUAUAUGACUUAUUGUCUGAUGGUCACUUUGAGUUUAAGAUUAAAUGGUGAAAAGAAUGAGUGAUAUGAGAUAUAACUCUUGAGCUGAAAUGUGAAUGAUGAUGUGC